Oncorhynchus nerka (sockeye salmon) is the source of this 2897-nucleotide long non-coding RNA. RefSeq lists it as uncharacterized. The transcript is spliced from 3 exons. The record is from RefSeq and is a predicted model, not a curated record. Lineage: Eukaryota; Metazoa; Chordata; Actinopteri; Salmoniformes; Salmonidae.
ACGAGUUAUGCACCCCUUACAUUCUGUCAACCCACAAGACUGUUAUCACAUCAACUGGCUACACACGGAGUGAUAGACAAAUGAAAAAUAUUUGGUAGAUAUUUUGUUAGUGGCUAACCAGAGGUUUGAAAAAUGUCAAUGUUGCGUUGAUUAGAUAGUAGCUGGGAGCCUGCGGUGUCGGAUAGUUGUGAGAUUUGUUUAUGACAGUUUGCGAUGGAACACGUGAAAAAUUGCAUAUGUAUUUUUGGAAUUGUUUGGCGAGCUACUCAUAGGUGGACUGCGAGCUACUGCACUUCACUGAUGGAAAGCCAAGCGAAAUAUGUCCUAACUGUCGAUGCGGGGAGCACAUGGCUGGAACAACAUCCUUCAGAUGACAUCCAAACAAAAGCCUACUCCGGCCAAACCCAGAUGACGCUGGGCCAAUUGUGCGCCACCCUAUGGGACUCCCAAUCACGGCUGGAUGUGAUACAGUCUGGAUACACUAUAUGUGGACACCCCUUCAAAUGAGUAGAUUUGGCUAUUUCAGCUACAACCAUUGCUGACAAGUGUAUAAAAUAGAGUACACAGCCAUGCAAUCUCCAUAGACAAACAUUGGCAGUAGAUUGGCCUUACUGAAGAGCUUGGUGACUUUCAAUGUGGCACCAUCAUAGAAUGCCAACUUUCCAACAGGUCAGUUCAUAACAUUUCUGCCCUGCUAGAGCUGCCCCUGUCAACUAUACAGUAAGUGCUGUUGUUGUGUGGAAACAUCUAGGAGCAACAAGGCAGCCGCGAAGUGGUAGGCCACACAAGAUUACAGAACAGGGCCGAUGAGUGCUGAAGCACGCAGCGCUUAAAAAAUCUUCUGUCCUCGGUUGCAACACUACAGAGUUCCAAACUGCCUCUGGAAGCAAUGUCAGGACAAGAACUGUUCCAUCGUACACAAGCCUAAAAUCACCAUGUGCAAUGCCAAGCGUCAAUGGAGUGGUGUUAAGCUUGCCAUCAUUGGACUCUGGAGCAGUGGAAAUGCGUUGUCUGGAGUGAUGAAUCAUGCUUCACCACCUGGCUGUCCGACAGACAGGUGGACACGCUUCCUGCCUCAAUGCAUAGUGCCAAUUGUAAAAUUUGGUGGAGGAGGAAAUGGUCUAGGGCUAUUUUUGUAUGGUUCAGGCUAGGCCCCUUAGUUCCAGAGAAGGGAAAUCUUAACGCUAACGCAUUCAAAGACAUUCUAGACGAUUCUAUGUUCUAAUUCUGUGGCAACAAUUUGGGUAAGGCCCUUUACUGUUUCAGCAUGACAAUGCACCCAUCCACAAAGCCAGGUCCUUACAGAUAUGGUUUGUCGAGAUUGGUUUAGAAGAUCUUGACUGCCCAGCACAGAGCCCCGACCUCAACCCAUUCGAAAACCGUUGGGAUUAAUUGGAACACUGACCGCGAGCCAGAUAUUUAUCCCCUUCACCCUCUUUGAUCACAUGGAAAUCCUUGAUUGAGGACACAUGAUCCUCCACGGUCAUGUCCCUCGCACUAAAGGGACACUUCAUCUCCAGCACUCCACUCAUGACAUUGCCACAGGUAACUGCAUCAGGCAAAACUCCUAGAAAAGGUAGGCUGGGCCGCAAGAGUAGACGGCAUCUGAGCAGGUGCCUAUCUGGGAAUUUCUUGAGGUACAUUGAUAGCAUUUUGGCAGCAUCAUAGCUUAUCGGCUUGGAAGAUACUUGUUUAGGACUGCACAAAUGCCUCUGCCACUUUUUUUUUAUUAUUGUGACUUCGUUUGAAGACCCACAGGAUGGUGUUGAUGGAGGUGGUGGUAGAUUGGUCGAGGGGAAAAAUGAGCAGAGAGAAAUGACGGUCUGUUCAUUACUUUAAGACAUGAAGGUCAGUCAAUCUGGAACAUUUCAAGAACUUUGAAAGUUUCUUCAAGUGCAGUCGCAAAAACUAUCAAGUGCUAUGAUGAAACUGGCUCUCAUGAGGACCGCCACAAGAAAGGAAGACUCAGAGUUACCUCUGCUGCAGAGGAUAAGUUCAUUAGCGUUAACUGCACCUCCGAUUGCAGCCCAAAUCAAUGCAGACACAUCUCAAUAUCAACUUUUCAUAGGAGACUGCGUGAAUCAGGCCUUCAUGGUCGAAAUGCUGCAAAGAAGCCACCUCUAAAGGACACCAAUAAGAAAAAAGACUUGCUUGGGCCAAGAAACACGCGCAAUGGACAUUAGACUGGUGGAAAUUAGUCCAAAUUUGAGAGACGCAGAGUAGGUGAACGGAUGAUCUCCACAUGUGUGGUUCCCACCGUGAAGCAUGGAGGAGGAGGUGUGAUGGCGAGGGGUGCUUUUCUGGUGACACUGUCAGUGAGUUAUUUAGAAUUCAAGGCACACUUAACCAGCAUGGCUACCACAGCAUUUCUAGUGAUAUGCCAUCCCAUUUGGUUUGCGCGUAGUGGGACUAUAAUUUGUUUGUCAACAGGACAAUGACCCAACACAUCUCCAGGCUGUGUAAGAGUUAUUUGAUGAAGAAGGAGAGUGAUGGAGUGGUGCAUUAGAUGACCUGGCCUCCACAAUCACCUGACCUCAGCCCAAUUGAGAUAGUGUUCUGAUAUCCAGAAGUUAUUUUCUGUCAUAAGAGACAGUAGCACCAACAUUAUGUUAAAAAUAAGUUGCAAACAAUCCAAAAUAGCACAAUUGGUUAGGAGCCCGUAAAACGGCAGCCAUCCCCUCCGGCGGCAUUUUCCUGAUGUGUUUUAAGCGUUCUUGUGGACUUCCAUCUUUUUUUUUCUAUUAAAAAAGGGUGAUUUUGAUCACGAAAACCUGAAGAAAUUGGGGGAAAGUUUUACCUGGAAAAAUGAAACAGAGAAAACAGAAUUUGGGAAAAUACAAAACGGAAUCAGGCAAAAUGAUGUAACGUGAUUUUUUUAGAACCCUAUGUAUGCUAUG